CAAGCAUUUUUGGCGCCGUUGCCGGGGAAGCAAUUGGUGUGAAGAUUUUGAUAAUGAUCUUGAUGUCUGCUAAUUUAAUGUAUCACUAGCUUUAGUAGGUUUAUUGUAUUUAUCUUUUCUGCAUUUGUUUUUAGCAUAUUUAUUACUCCAUAACAUAUUUAUCUUUCUGCAUUAUUAUUGCAUUAGAAAAUAUAAUAAAAAUAUUUUAUAUAACUCAUUGCAUCUUAAGUACUAAAACCCCAUGUGAAUAAAUUGUGUGGUGUGUAAAAGCCCACACGGAUAUUCACCGUGGUGGAAUAAAAAAAAUAAAAAUAUAAAUAAAAAUAAAAAUAAAUAAACUUGCAUUCAUCCUGUUCCAUUUCCUUUUUGCUUCAUAGAAAGAUUAAAACCUAAAAAAUAUAUAUAUUGAGAAAGAGAUCUUGUUGAAACUCUGCUUAGAAAAAGAAUUAAGAAAAAUCUAAAAAGCUUGGACAACUAAGGCUUAAGUGGCCAACUACUAAUGUUUAAUCGGUGCCACAAGUUUUGUUGUCUAUUUGAGUUUAACAUGAUUUAAAGAGAGAAUCCCCAAUGAUCAAGAUAUCUUCAUCAACUUGGAAGCGCUGCAAUCAUCACUGACAUUUUGAAGCUCAAGAAUAUUGAAGAACAUUUGUGUUGUGCGGAUUCAAGAUUGUAGACUAUGUCAACAUUCAGCGUGGGGUAAAACAAUCCCGUUAUCUUCGCGAUUCAGGCUUGAAGUAAAAGAGUGAAGAAUAACAACAAGGUAUGUCCAACCAAUCAUCAUGCAAUAUUGAAUUAAAUUCAUCCAAACUUUACUUGUUCAAGCUUGGGGAAUACCUUACAUAAAAACAUCCUUUGCCAUGUUGCUAUGUUGGUUGUCCCUACCAUUAAGACAUGCUCAAUUUGUUAAACACUAAUCAUUCUACUUCAUCCCCACUUGAGUAGAUGUCUAUAAUGUUGUCAUACUACCUUUGUCUAUUCACAAGUAAGUGUUGGUUUGGAAGUACUCGACAUACUUCCAUUGGCAUUUAAAUUAAGCAUGGUGCUUAGGUUAAAUAGCCUUCCUUAAUCCAAUUAGACAUGGAGUCUAGUUUGGUUAUUGAACUAAAAACUGCUUGUGUAGACACUGGUAUAUUUUGUUGGACUAACCCCUGCAGAAAAUUUUCAAUAUCAAUUUGAGAAGUCCUGAGAUAAAUUCAGAAUGGAGAUAAAGAGGGAGACACAUGAAGUUUAACAAUUUGCACAAGAAAGACAUAGCUCGUCCAUCAUAGAGAGAUAAUCCAUGGAACGAGACGAAGAGUGCCACGAACAAGAUGCACAACCAUUGAGAAAGAAAAGCUUCCACAAGGUGAUAUUGUAUCAUCACUCUUCAAUUAAGGUAACAUCUUAAGGUAUGUGACUGUCACUGUUAUAAGCUUCUCCUUGAUUCUGGCAUGCACAUGGAUAAAAAUACAAACAUGUAUGAUUUAUAACUCCAAAUUAACCAACCCAAUUGAUUCAACAUGUUUAGUCCUUUAAUCUUUGUUCCCGGUACUACCUUCUUGAUCCCACACUCUUAACCAUAUGAGCUAAAAUGUUGCACAUCUGAUCUUUGGAAAAUGAUAGUCAUGUAAAGAAAAAAAAUUUACUUAGAUAGAUUAUCUUUCCAUAAGGUUGAGUGAUCUGAUUUGAUAAAUGUUUUAAAUGCUACACUCAUGAUCUUAUCAUCCAUCAACUUUGUCUUGCUCACUAUGCUUAAGGUUAGAGAAGAACAAAUACACAUUUGGUUCUGUUGGUGUUUUCCACCAACAGGGCCCAUGCACUUGAUCUCUGUCUUGUCUCUAUGAGCAGGAUACACUUCGAGCAAAACAUGGAGGAGUUUUCCAACUCCCAGACUCUACCAAGUGAAGGAUCUGGAUCUACGAGCACAAACACACUGAGGAGGAUGCUGCCAACGCCGCACUUCGAACUGCUGGGCAAACGAAAAACAUGGGGGACACCGUAUCAAGAGGUGC
Molecule: long non-coding RNA, 1991 nt
Filed under: Sorghum bicolor (sorghum)
Lineage: Eukaryota; Viridiplantae; Streptophyta; Magnoliopsida; Poales; Poaceae
Description: long non-coding RNA (SBIC_LNC014725)
Source: RNAcentral